RNAcentral lists this ribosomal RNA (440 nucleotides) under uncultured bacterium. Its description in RNAcentral is "partial 16S ribosomal RNA". It matches the Rfam family "Bacterial small subunit ribosomal RNA", at positions 338 to 795 of the family's 1533-position model. The record is from RNAcentral.
CCUACGGGGGGCAGCAGUGGGAAAUAUUGCUCAAUGGGGGAAACCCUGAUGCAGCCAAGUCGCGUGAGUGAAGACGUAUCUCGGUAUGUAAAGCUUCAUCAGUAGGGAAGAAAAUGACGCUACCUGAGUAAGAAGCCCCGGCUCACUACGUGCCAGCAGCCGUGGUAAUACGGAGGGGGCCGGCGUUAUCCGGAUUUACUGGGUGUAAAGGGAGCGUAGUGGGCAGCAAAAGUCUGGAGUGAAAUGCCGGGGCUUAACCCCGGAACUGCGUUGGAAACUGGGCAGCUUGAGUGCAGGAGAGGUAAGUGGAAUUCGUGGUGUAGCGGUGAAAUGCGUAGAUAUCAGGAAGAACACCAGUUGCGAAGGCGGCUUACUGGACUGUAACUGACGUUGAGGCUCGAAAGCGUGGGGAGCAAACAGGAUUAGAUACCCGGGUAGUC